Molecule: transfer RNA, 82 nt
Filed under: Xenopus laevis (African clawed frog)
Lineage: Eukaryota; Metazoa; Chordata; Amphibia; Anura; Pipidae
Rfam family: tRNA
About the family: Transfer RNA (tRNA) molecules are approximately 80 nucleotides in length. Their secondary structure includes four short double-helical elements and three loops (D, anti-codon, and T loops).
Source: Rfam by way of RNAcentral
ACUAGGAUGGCCGAGUGGUUAAGGCGUUAACUUAAGAUCCAAUGGACAUAUGUCCGCGUGGGUUCGAACCCCACUUCUGGUA